Molecule: long non-coding RNA, 779 nt
Organism: Rattus norvegicus (Norway rat)
Lineage: Eukaryota; Metazoa; Chordata; Mammalia; Rodentia; Muridae
Source: RefSeq, a predicted model, not a curated record
GUGGACAAAAAUCUUUUAGUCCUUUUAACCGAUACAAGGUAGACGUCUCUCUCUUAAAUUUAAAAAAUAGAGGAAGGAGGAAAAAGGAGAAGAAAAGGAGGAAGAGGAGGAAAAGAAGGCGGAGGAGUAAGAACAAGAAGGAGACGGAGAAAUGGAAGAGGAAUAGGAGUCAGGAGGAGGGAAAAGAAGAGGAGAAAAUAAAGCAACCACGUAAUUAUAGGGUCCUUCCCAUGAUCUUCAAAAGCAAGUAUUUUCACCUUAGUUUGCAGGAACGCAGCAAAUAAGAUGGCCUACUACACAGAGCCAAUGUGUGACAGAAGAUGAACAGAAACCCAGGAUUAUCUUCACUACUGAAACUUUGUCAUGCUUUAAAUUCCACCGAUGAUAUGGAAAUGACAUAAGACAUACCAAGUCAGCAUUGCGUGCCUGGGAAGUAAGAACAGCUCGUUGGCGUCCUGGAAAGCCUGGUGGGUCCACACUCUAGGUACCUGUACCAUCCAGGGAUGGUGAAGACGGACCCCCGAGAGCUCUUACAUACAAAGUGAAUCCGGAGACAACCAGAAGCAACUUUACAACGAUCAGAAGACAAUAAGACCGGAAAGAGAAAACUGACUCUCUGUUGGCUUUCAUGGCAGCUGGGGACAAGACCCAAGCCACAAGAAUUAGUAGAAGCAGAUGAAGGUUUAUCCUGUCCUGUACCCAUUACUCCAAAGAAAAAAAAUUGCCAAAACAAACAAAAACAAGCAAAAAUUGUCAAUAAAACAGAGGUUCCCAACUAA